Molecule: ribosomal RNA, 700 nt
Filed under: uncultured bacterium
Lineage: Bacteria
Description: bacterial SSU rRNA
Rfam family: Bacterial small subunit ribosomal RNA
Source: RNAcentral
AGUGGCGGACGGGUGAGUAACACGUAAGAAUUUGCCUUUAGGAGGGGGAUAACAACUGGAAACGGUUGCUAAUACCCCAUAUGCUUUCGAGUGAAACGGUUUUUCCGCCUAAAGAGAAGCUUGCGGCUGAUUAGCUUGUUGGUGAGGUAAUGGCUCACCAAGGCGACGAUCAGUAUCUGGUUUGAGAGGACGAUCAGACACACUGGAACUGAGACACGGUCCAGACUCCUACGGGAGGCAGCAGUGGGGAAUUUUCCGCAAUGGGCGAAAGCCUGACGGAGCAAUACCGCGUGAGGGAUGAAUACCUAUGGGUUGUAAACCCCUUUUUUCAGGGAGGAAUAAAAUGACGUGUACCUGAAGAAUAAGCAUCGGCUAACUCCGUGCCAGCAGCCGCGGUAAGACGGGGGAUGCAAGUGUUAUCCGGAAUCACUGGGCGUAAAGCGUCUGUAGGUGGUUUAAUAAGUCAACUGUUAAAUCUUGAGGCUCAACCUCAAAACCGCAGUCGAAACUGUUUGACUAGAGUAUAGUAGGGGUAAAGGGAAUUUCCAGUGGAGCGGUGAAAUGCGUAGAGAUUGGAAAGAACACCAAUGGCGAAGGCACUUUACUGGGCUAUUACUAACACUGAGAGACGAAAGCUAGGGUAGCAAAUGGGAUUAGAUACCCCAGUAGUCCUAGCUGUAAACAAUGGAUACUAGAUGUU